This 20-nucleotide small nuclear RNA is filed under the name Arabidopsis thaliana (thale cress). RNAcentral describes it as "snRNA_07899". The record is from RNAcentral. Lineage: Eukaryota; Viridiplantae; Streptophyta; Magnoliopsida; Brassicales; Brassicaceae.
UUUUUAAGGAUGUUGGGUUA